RNAcentral lists this transfer RNA (76 nucleotides) under Marine Group III euryarchaeote CG-Epi2. RNAcentral describes it as "tRNA-Arg". It matches the Rfam family "tRNA". Rfam says of the family: Transfer RNA (tRNA) molecules are approximately 80 nucleotides in length. Their secondary structure includes four short double-helical elements and three loops (D, anti-codon, and T loops). Further hydrogen bonds mediate the characteristic L-shaped molecular structure. tRNAs have two regions of fundamental functional importance: the anti-codon, which is responsible for specific mRNA codon recognition, and the 3' end, to which the tRNAs corresponding amino acid is attached (by aminoacyl-tRNA synthetases). tRNAs cope with the degeneracy of the genetic code in two manners: having more than one tRNA (with a specific anti-codon) for a particular amino acid; and 'wobble' base-pairing, i.e. permitting non-standard base-pairing at the 3rd anti-codon position. RNAcentral also lists the same sequence under 2 other names. Lineage: Archaea; Methanobacteriati; Thermoplasmatota; Thermoplasmata; Candidatus Thermoprofundales. The record is from RNAcentral.
GCCCGGAUAGUGUAGCUUGGAAUCACGGAAGCUUGCGGAGCUCCAAACCCGGGUUCGAAUCCCGGUCUGGGCGCCA